Molecule: long non-coding RNA, 3192 nt
Filed under: Homo sapiens (human)
Lineage: Eukaryota; Metazoa; Chordata; Mammalia; Primates; Hominidae
Description: HSALNT0069160
Source: RNAcentral
UGGCUCUCAUUCCCACUGCACUUCAGACACCCUGAGAACAGAAUGAAAAACAGAAACCAAGUGCUUAAGGGUCAAGAGUUUGUGCAAGACCAUAGACCUUCACAGUUCUUUCUUUCAAAGGACACAUAGCUUAAUAAGAGGAGAGAAAUUUAAUGACAAAUAAGGGUACACAGUGCUAAUCAAAGUCCUUUAGUCAAAAACACUCUAACACGUUGGAUAAAGGAGCCUGUCCGUAGUAGCCUCUCUUCCUGCAGCCAACAUUAAAACUGCUUCCUCAGAGGAAGAGGAUAAAUAAGUGCCAGACAGUCAGUCCUUUGAACUUCAGCCAAUAUAAAUAUCAUGCCGCUGUCAUGAAAAUAAACUUAUUUGCUUAAUCCACUUCCUCUUGAUAAUAAACAACUUAGCCCAAGGCCUAGUGUAUAGAGUUAUGUUUAGCACUAGCAGAGAAGCUGGUAAAAAAACUUUCUCUCUCAAGAAAUAAUCUCCAUACAUUUCCUAGGGAAGUUCUGUUUUGCGUGUGUGUAAUCUUGGGAGGAGCUCUGAAAGCAUCCAGUUCAGCUCUUCAUCUAAUGAGACAUUUUUCUCAGACCUUCACUACACACUAAAGAGAAGGAAAGAUGUGAAGCCAGGAGGCGGCGGUUGUAGUGAGCCGAGAUCGCGCCACUGCACUCCAGCCUGGGCGACAGAGUGAGACUCCGUCUCAAAAAAAAAAAAGAGAAGGAAAGAUGGAAGGGACUAGAAAAUCCUGAGAAAAGACCCAACGCCUCACAUAUUUGAUGUCCAAAAGGACAUCCAGAAGAAUAGGUACUCUUAUUCUGUCCUCUAACUGGAUCUCACCUGUCCAGUCCAAUCUUUGUUUCUUGUUCUCUCACGAUGUAGAGGCUUUACCACACAACGCAUUCUGAAAUAAGCAGUAAUCCCUCAGGCCCUGCGUGAAAACAAAAACUGGUUUGUAAAUCUGAGUCAAGAGAUAAUUAUUGUUUGAACACACACAAUGAGGACCUAUGUAAAAAUGGAAAGCAAGCUUGUCUUUGACACAUCUCAGUGGAAAACAGCAUCAUGUUAUGAAACAAGUAUGGGCUUUGGGGUCAGAGAAACUUAAGUUGGUUGUUUGCCUUCUUAUUACAUUGACUCGGUCAAUCAUUUAAAUUUUCUAAACCUUGGGUCCUUGUUUGUAAGAGGAGAAUAAUAAGUUCAGCUUAUGAAGUUAUUGGGAGCUUUGAGUGAAAUGCUGUAGUAGCUGCUUAUAAAUGCGAUUUCUUUCCUCCCUUCCCCUGGUAUGCUUGUUUCCUUGACCCUCCCUCUGAGUGUGCGUAUACAAGCUUUUCCAUUUUCUCCUAAAACCAACAAAUUAGGAGAAAAGGGUGUUUUCUCAGGCAGGAGUCAUUUUACUUUGUGUGCAAAAGUCUCCAAGGUUCAGUCCCUGUGGAGCAAAUCAUCCCUCUGAGUUUGGGAAUGGCUUUAUGCAACAGAGGCGUGUGAGAUGGCUUUUAGAAAUCUAGUGGCUGCAAGGUGGAAAAUGGCCAGCUUCAUGGCCCCACUCCCUGCUUCCUGUCACUUGAGCCUGUGCAGAUUCCCCACACCUACAAUUAGCAACUGGCGGCCUUUAAAAGCGCCUCGCCUCACUGUGCUUUUUACCUGUCUCUCACGGGAGACCUAAAUGUGCUGUGACGCUAAUAAACCUGGAAUUAUUCCAUUUUAUCAAGUUGUCGGCUGACAGUGAGGAUGAGAAAUCAUGAAAAACCAACCACCACAUUAUUCGUUAUCUUUGGGACCAGCUUGAAGGGUCUGACCAUCUCCUUGGCUGUGCUUUACAUUCCUAACCCCGAUGACCUCUGUCUCCCCAGGAGCAGCCUUCUCGUCAUUGGCAUCAGUGCAAUACUGAAUGACAGAUUAGAGAGAGGAUCUUCAGAGAUUAUUACUGCGAUUCUCAAGUAACAGCAUGGCUGGGAAACACCAACCCUGGUCCCAUACUGCCUACGUUUACAUUAAUGCCACCACUUUGUGGCUGUGCAACAAUGGGCAAGUUAUUGAAUCUUCUUUUUCAUCACUUGUGAUAUGAAGAAAACAUUAUAUCUACUUCCAAAGAUUGUUGGGAAGAAUUAACAAGCUAUGCACUUUCAUUGUAAAAGUGCCUGGAUCAAAGGACUCACUCAAUACGUGCUAAUAGCUAUUUUUUAAUUUGCACGUAAGAAGACUGAGGUUCACCAAGGGCAAGAUAUCUCCUCCAAAGUCACAUUACAAAUUAGGGGAUGAAUCCAUACUAAGAAAUAGGUUUCUAAAUAAUCACUUUUUAACCAUUCUCCAUUUGUCUGUGACACUUCACUUACAAUCUAAAAUAUCCUUUGCCCUUAUGAACUUCACAAAAUAAUCCUUCAUCCUGAAAAUAAAUAUAUCUCUGCUCCAGCUAUAUUUGGGUAUAUUGGUUAUAAUCUUAAAGAGAACAAAGUCCAGUGGUAAAUAUUGAUGAGGAAACAGAGUUUUCUACACCUUGUGGCUGGUGUUAUAACAAAAUAUGAAAAUGGAAGUCCCAGUAAGGACUGUAGUGGUUCCUUCCACCUGAAUAGGUCAAUGUGGGAAUGGCACUGAAAGAGUCACAGAAGAGAUGACACAUAAAUCCUCGUGAAUAAUGUGUCUGAGUUCGACAGAAGGAAAAUAAUAUGGUCAGGGAAGGGCAUUGUGAAUCUACUCAUUAUUCAUGCAUGCAUGAAUGCAAAAAAUAUUUAUUGAACAUUACAAUUAUCCCACUAGGACAGGCUACCUUCAUCUUUUAUUUGAGUUACUGCAAUUUCUCCCUUAACUCGUCUCCCUUCAUACAAACCUUACUCCUAGCUUAUAAACAGAGGGAUGUUUUGAAAAUGCAAAUUUAAUCACAAUAUAAUCAAACCCACAUACAAGGGAUGAUCUCCCUUCCCUCCCCUCCCCUCCCCUCCCCUCUCCCUCCCUUCCCUUCCCAUUUGAUACCACUGCUCAAAUUCCUAAGUUCAAAAUGUCCUACAUUCGGGGGAGGAGCCAAGAUGGCCGAAUAGCAACAGCUCCGGUCUACAGCUCCCAGCGUGACCAACACAGAAGACGGGUGAUUUCUGCAUUUCCAUCUGAGGUACCGGGUUCAUCUCACUAGGGAGUGCCAGACUGUGCUCACUAGUGGGCGCAGGCCAGUGGGUGCGCGCACGGUGUGCGAGCCGAAGCAGG